AUGAGGAAGCGUGUAUCCCUCAUAGAUUGGAACAGUGUGGCUCACACCAUCACCAGAGUCGAGCACAAUACCUGCAGAAAGAAAAAGUUGUCAACCACCCUAUCCAGUGAACUUCAGCGGCAACUGUUUCAAACAAGACUAAAGAAUAAAAGAAGAGGGAAAGCCAGCUUUGCAGCACUCAAACUCGACAUGAGCAAGGCGUACGAUCGAGUUGAAUGGAGUUUCUUGAGGGACAUGAUGAUAAAGAUGGGGUUUAACUCUUCUUGGGUCAAGCUCAUUAUGAACUGCGUCACCACGGUUCGUUAUCAAAUAAAGAAAGCGGAGGAACGUGGAAAAAUAAUAGGCAUCAAAGUAUGCAAAAGAGCUCCAAGCAUUAAUCAUCUCCUCUUUGCAGAUGAUUCUUUACUGCUCUUCAAAGCUGAAAAUAGGACUGCAAUAGAGAUAAAUCAUAUCCUGGAGACAUAUGCUGGUUGCUCAGGUCAAGUAAUCAAUAAGGAGAAAUCUGCCAUAAUGUUUAGCAAGAAUACCCAGCAUCAGCAGAAGAAUAUGAUCAUGUCAGCAUUGCAUAUUACAAGGGAGGCAAGAACAGAGAAGUAUUUAGGGCUGCCAGUGUACAUAGGAAGAUCAAAAGAAAAGGCAUUUGCCUACCUCAAAGACAAAAUUUGGAGGAAAGUUCAAGGAUGGAAAGAAAAAAUGCUCUCAACGGCGGGUAAAGAGAUUCUAAUAAAGGCCGUAGCCCAAGCAGUCCCGGUCUUUGCAAUGGCAUGUUUUGAUCUGACCAAGACUUUAUGUAACCAGAUUAGUGAGAUGAUCUGCAGAUACUGA
This 825-nucleotide ribosomal RNA is filed under the name Triticum aestivum (bread wheat). Its description in RNAcentral is "partial small subunit ribosomal RNA". The record is from RNAcentral. Lineage: Eukaryota; Viridiplantae; Streptophyta; Magnoliopsida; Poales; Poaceae.